AAAAAAAAAAAAAAAAAAACUAUAUGGGAAGAUUGUGUUUAUAUGCUUUAAUUUCCAAAUUCUUAAUACUUAAAUAAGCAUCAAAUAGUUAUAAAAUAAAAGAUAAUUUUCAAAUUUAAUUAACAAGAUGAAUCAAAAUAAUUAUCAAUAUAUAACAAAUUUCUAAAUAUAUGAUUGACAAAGAAGGACGUGAUAGAUUGAAGUUUUUUCCUAUAUUUUAUAAAUAAUUUUAAUAGUUUUGUUAUUUUUAAUAAUAUUACUAAAACAAAUCAGAAAUAACUUUUCACAAAUAUAUAUAAAUACAUACGUAGGAAAUACUUUAAUUAUGCAUAGCAAGAGAAAAAACAAAUGAAAGGCAAAUGGGUUAGAAAGAGUUAUGGCAUCCCAAUUUGAGAAUCAAACAAUUUUGGUGAAUAGUAAGUAAACAUUGGGGAGGGGACUGGGGAGAGGAUACGUUAAUGUUUACAUGCUAAGGGAGGAGCCUUGGAGAGGUGAACAGUGCAUUAUGGUGUGGUCUUUAAUGGUUUGUUUUUAUGUCAUAUAGUUGGGGAGAGGAAGAAGAGAAGUGUAAUACAAAAACCUACUUUUUGAAAUAAGAGAGAGAUCCAAAAGGGAAAAGGUAAUAAUAAGACACGAAAAAAAAGCAUGUAAAAAGAGAAGUGAAGUGAGGGAUGAUGACACACUAAAAUUAGACUCAUCAUGAAGGUUUAGUUAAUUUAAUUAUUUAGACAUAGUUUGUAUAUGCGAAUGAAGGUCAAAGUGUGAUGAUAAUUGGAUGCUUUAAUAUUACUGUUUAGGGAGGGAGGAGAGAAGAGAAGAGAAGAGGUAAGGAAUUGUAAUAAGAAGUGUCUAUAUACAAUGUAUAUGAAGAAGAGGUUUUAGGUGAAUAAUGGUGGUAAUGGUGGUGGGUUUAGUGGAUGAAAUGAAAAGUGAUCAUUUAAUUAAGAUCGUUGAUUAUUAUAGAAUCAAGAUAUAUUUUGUUGGUUCAUCAACCACUUUCAUAAUAAUAAUAAUAGUAUUAAUUUAAAUUAUAUAUAUGAUGUUUAAUAGCAAUAAAAGUUCAAAUAAUUUAUAACAAUUUACUGGGUGAGAUUAAUUCCAUUUCCAAAACCCUAAUGUGAAAUUUGCUCAACUAUAACUUUGGCCUUUUUGCCAACCAUCACAUCUUUUGAGAGUUCACAUUUCUUAAACCAAUCCUUUUUUUCUAAGCCUUUCACUCUUCCAAACUCCCAAUUCAUCCCUAAACAAGUCUACAUUCAUUCAUUUUCUUUAUGCUCUCCUUUUUCUCAUUCCCUUUUCCUUUUUGUAGUUAAAGUAGUAGUGGGCACUUCUUUGGCCAGUAAUAAUACCUAAACUUUCAUCAACUUUAACCUAUUUGAUUCAGAGAGAAAAUUAAAAUAAAAUCAAACAAACAAUGGUUUUCUUAAAUAGUGAUCAUAUGGAUUUGUAGGUGUAUCGCUAAAAUAAACAGGCAUGUCCGUUUAACCUGUUUAGUUGGAAAAAAAAAAGUGAAUGUCUAAUGUCAAUUAUAAAUUACGUACAUUAUAAGUUACAUACUAAUUGCUUCAUAUCAAUUAUUAGCAUCACCUUACCUUCGUGAAAUGAUGAGAAAAAAAUAAUUUAAGAAAAUAAGUAUAAUUUUUAUAAAACAAAACUGAUCUAACACUAAAUCGUUUUCAACCAGAGUAUUUGUAUACUAAAUUAGCUAUCUAUUUUAAUUCAAGACAAUUGUACCUAUCUAGUAAUAACCAAUCCAUAAAAUGGCACAAGAUUGAAGAAUAUUUUUUUCAUGAUAUGUUCGCCAUUCUCACAAUGUUCUGGCGUGUAUCCUUGUGAUAAUAAACUUUGGAAAAAGCGUGAUUCUUUUAUACUUCUUUUUUCUUGUAUAUUUUUCGGUAGAAAACAUGUAAUUAUUUUCCUCUUCCUACUAUUAAAAAUAUUAAAAGGUUUAUUUUAAUAGUAAAUAUUGUUUCAUAAUUAAAUUUAGAUAUUAAGGAUAUGAAAUGAUUUGAAUGUUUAAAGUUUAAAUGUUUAUAUUCAUCCUGCUUAAUGUCUCAAACUCCCAACCAUGUUCAAUUCAAUAAUUUGUAUUAUUGAAAAUAAAAAAUAAAAAGUUACUUAAUUAAAUGCAAGAGAUGAAUUAAAUUUAAUAUUACUUAAUUUGUUGUCAUAUUUAAUUAAUAAAAUAAAUAAAUAAGUUUUUAACUAAACAUAAUUAAGCUAAUUACUAAAAAUAAAUAAUUAAUUGGUUAUUUAAUAAUUAAUUAAAAUGAUCAACAAUAUUGACUAGUUAAUACUAAAACAUUAAUUAAUUAAGCUAUAUUUUUACGAUUCAUCUUCAUACAUGUAUGAAAAAUGUCAUUUUAUAUGGGGUUUAAAAUUUAAGUAAAAUUAGGUGAACAAAUAGAAACAUUAAAUAUUUAUCUAAAUUUCCAUGAAAAAACUUAUGAAACAAAUGACUUCAUAAGAGUACAAAGAGAGCCGUAGAGAAAAAAGAAAUCAAAUGUAAUGCAACAAAAUUCAAGAAUAAAGCAAAUAAGAAAUGGUUUUGCAAAGAAUUGAAGGGAUUAAUAAUUGAAUAUAUUGGGUAUUAGUUAGGGAUGGCACCAUGGAGGCACCUCAUAUGUUGGGUUAAAGCAUUUGCAUUUGCAUUUGACAACCCCUCUUGUUUGAUUAUAUUCUUUCCCCUUUGCCCAAAAGUUAGCAUUUAUGUUUCCCAUUAUCCCUUUUCAAAAUUAGUACUCAACCAUUCAAUCUCUUUCGGUUCUACACUUUGGCAUUUUCUAUAUUUUAAUAUACAUAAUAUACAAUUAUUGCAUCAAUCCCAUUCCACAAAAUCAAACUAGAUAUUGUCUAAAAUAGUUGCAUGUGUAUGUUCAGAAGUCACGAGGUUUGAAUCUCUCAAAAUAAAUCUUGCUUGUUUGUAAAAACGAUCGCAUAGGAACAAAUACCAAUUUAUACCCUAACUUAAUUUAAAUUUUGAGAUUGUGUAUUAUAUUUCUAAACUUUAAACUAAUGAUUACAUCUAAUUUGAAUAAUUAACUUUCAUGAAUCUAUCAAUUUACUUGAAAAAGAUUUAAUUUUUUCAAUUAACUAAUAAAUUAGUAAUAGAAAUCAAUUUAGAACCUUUUAAGAUUAUAUUUUAAAAUUUAAAAUCACAACUACAACAAAAUUGAUAUUUGUCUUAAAAAAUAAUAAACAGAGUAAUCAAUCCAAUAUCUUUUACUUCUCAUUUCAUUCUAAUGUGAUAAAAAGUACUUUUUUCGUUCUUUUUCUCUCUCUCUCGUUAGGUUUAUAUUAUAAUUUUCGUUCGAUCGUACUUCGAUUCCUAAACUUUGUAUCUUAUUUUAUUUUGGAUCAUAAACAUUUUAAACGGUUUGUAAGUCUCCAAAUAAAAAAUAAAGAACUUACUUUGGUCUUUUUCAUUAGGAGUUACUUUGAUCUUGUAUAGAUUUAUAUCAUUUUUAAAAGUGAUAAUCUUAUUUGGUGGUUUAGUGAUCAAAAUAUAUGAGUCAUAUUAUCAUUCCGUUAAAGAGUUAAAGAUAUAAAAUUCUAAAAACAAGAAUCAAAAUACGUUGUUUUAAGAUGAGAGACUAUAAUUGACAUUAUUAAAAAUUUAGAAACUAAAGUAAAAUUUAAUAAGAUUUAGAUUGCAAUCCUUUGCGUUAUUAAAUAGUUUUAAAAUAAUGUUAUGUGAUUCCUCAAAUAAUAACAAUAAUGUUGUGUGAUUUGGCCUCUACACUACAACAGUGAUAUCAUUUUUCUCUUUCUUUCUGUUUCCUCUUCUCUUUCCAUACACAAUAUAUGCUUUAGCUCUAUUAAUCUCAACUUUUAUGAGAAUGUGAUUUAUAUAUAACAUUUUUACCCUUCCAUAUAUCAUAGGUAGAUCAUAUUGUGACGACAACGAAACAGAAUAAAUCAUGUUAAUUUUUCUAUUAUUCUUAAGACUCUAGUAUUAGUUAUUGUCUCAAUUUUUAACCACUUUAUUUUUUUUAAUACUCUACCCUACAAAUAAUUGAUAAUACCCUUAAAUUAUAUCUUUAUCAAUUUUUUGUUACCACCGAUGAUAAUUGAUAUACAUCAAUGGUUAAUAACCUAUAAGAAUGUUCAGUCAACUAAACUUUGGUUAAUUAGUUCUUCCAUCUUGCAUUAUUGUGUAUAAAAGGAUAAAAGAUAAUAUUUCUCCAUGGUUUGAAAAUUUUGAGUAUUAGGAUCUAAGUAUAUUAAUGUAUUAGGGAAGUUAAAUGUAUUGUUUAUUAUAUAUAUAUAGGUCCAUUUUAAUCUCUUUAUUUUUUAUUGUUCAUCAUAGACCGAGAAAAAAUGGAGAUAUUGUAGUCAUUGACUUGUGAAGUAAUGGUACAUAAUAUUAUUUGAAAGAAGAAGAAUAGAAGAAAAGAAAAAUCCAAAGCUUUAUCUUUUCAACGUGGAUGCUGGCUUUUUCCAUGAUAUGAUAUGAAUAUGAACAUUGACAUUGACAAUGAUAUAGUGCCUUCUUCUUCUUCUUUUUUCUUUUUUUUUUUUUAAAAAAAUUAUUUUGUAAACGAAUACAAGCAGGGCAUGCACUUUUCAGCAAUUUACUUUUAAAAAGUUCAAUUUCUAUCACCUCAAUAAAUCAAUAAAUACUUAAGUUUGGAAUUUUGAAUUUCAUCCAUCCAACUACUAUAUUGUUCUCUGUCAUUGUUAAUAUUAUUAGACCGAAGAAAAGACCCAAUAAUAAUAAAAUUAAUUACUACAACUGACAUAACUAAAAUCUAGCUACCAAUCUCCAAACACGUACACGAGACAUAUUUGAAUCGAGAUCUCAGUAAAGUCUAAGAAAGAAGCAAUUGGUUGAUCCAUAAUUAGGCUCAAAGUUUUGGGUUGUUUAGAAAAUUUCAGUAGUUUUGAAAAAAGAUUAGGUAAAUUUUGUCAUUUUAAAAAUAAUUAGACAUAAAGUGUGGUUCUUUUUUUGCAUUAUUGGACUACGUCUAUUCGUUUCAUUUUUUUCUUUAAUUUUUAUUUUAACCAUUAUUCCUCUCUUUUCAUUUUUUGGGUUGAAACAGUGAUCAGAUGUGAGACAAACCCUAAUUAUCAACUUGAAUGUACAUGUGGCAAAAAUUAGGCAUGCAAUAAAACCAUUCUUCUAAUCCAACAAAAUUAGCCAUGCAGUCUUCUAAUCUGAACUAAAGAAAGAAGGAAAAAGAAUUAACUGAAAUACUCAAAGAAAGAAAACAAGAAACAGAUGUUGAAGAAAGCGAGACUGUUUGAAAGAAGCUAGAGAAGAAACACUAACAAUUUUCUUAGUAUGAAUUACAAAACUUUGACUCUCUUCCACACUUCAUUUUUUAAUCUAACAUUCUUGUGUUGCAAUUGCCACUUUAUUGCUCUAUCACUAUGGUUGUCAAUUCUAGUUCUUCUCUGCCAUUGCCAGUUAUGUGUUAAUCUUGUCACUGUCCAUCUCUCUCCUCUACAACCACUUUCAUUAGAAUUUGAAUAUUUAUAGAGCGUAUGAUCAUAUGAUAUUAUAUAUUUAUAAAGUCCAUGUACAAAUUGAAUAAUUGCAUCAAUUUUCAUAUAUUACAUUAAUUUGUUUAUGAUCUUUUUAUUAUGAUCAAUUUAGAAGUGAAUAGAAUUAUUGAUGGAGGGAUAAGGGUGUACUUGGAAUUCAUUUCAAGCUAAAAAGAGGAUAAAACCGACAAAAAAAAAUGUUUUCUAAAGAUAGCAGUUUUUUAAUAUUGUGUAGAUAAAUAUAAAUUUGGAUUCCAAAUUAAUUCAAUCCAUUCAAUUUGAAUUCCCAUCACGUUGACUCAACACAACACUUGAUUACUCCACUGUUCAUAACUUUUCUCUUCUUUUUCUAUUUUUAUCUUUUUACUCAGAUUGUAUUAAUUUAGAAGUUUCGUCCCAGCAUAGAUGAGAAGGAAUGAAAAUAAACUUAAUUUUCCAAAUUAAAAUGAUUAUGAAAUUUAAAUGAAGGCUUGGUCUCAUGUAUUUAUUUAUCUAUUUGUAAUAAUAAAGCCAAAUACACUUUUAUUAUUAUGCAAGGAGAAUUUUGAUUGAAACACUACUAAUUUUCAACUUUAACUUUAAUUUGGGUGAGGCAUUUAUUUAUAGGAUUUUAGGGGAAAAUCAUGAGGUAAACACUACUCCACCUUAAAAUCAAUUAUUAAUUUACUUCAAUUUUAUUUUUAUUUUUUUGGCAAAGAAAACUAAUGAAUCAUUUGAAAAAAAAAAUGUGUAAAAUGUGUAGAUUGAAGUGAUGAUAUGUAACUAUAGAAUAUGCAAUGUGAUUGUAACAUGGAAACUUAGGUAAGUUGAAAUUGAAUAUUAAUGGGAAAGAAAAAGAGUUUAGGAAGUUGUAUUUCAAAGAUCAUAAGUGGUUAAAGUAAAAGAAAUAUAAUAAUGAGAAAGUGGCAUCUCCUAAUUGAUAUAAAAUUUUUGAAUGGUUUAUAUAUAUUAUGCUUCCAUUUUAAAAUCAAACACUCCCCUGCGUCAACCCCAAGCUUUUCUUCAUGCAAUUAAUAAACCCCCUUGCCUGAGCUGUGUCACUGACACACACACCUCCCUUAGUUCCCCCAAACACUUCAACACACAUGUCGAUCGCUAACGCCAACACGUCUCCGACUAUGUCCGGCGUCUCAACGACGGUCGACAACACCAGCACCCCUGCAGACAGGGCUCGGUGGGUGGCAAACCCACCAGACCCACCAGGGAUAUGUCGAGACCUCAUCGACUGGCUUCGCCAAACCAUGUUUCCCGAUCCCACCAAGCUUUUCCCACUCAAGAACAAGACUGGAACUGCGGUCCUGGGAAGGGUCUUGAAGGGUGUUUUCCCUAUCCUCUGUUGGGGGCAGAGCUAUAAUCUUGGAAAGUUUAAAAAUGAUGUCUUGGCUGGUUUGACACUUGCUAGCCUCUGCAUUCCUCAGGUAAAUUAAAUUAUGUUAUUAGAAAAUGAUGAUUAAAGUUAGUUAAUUAAUUGUGAUGAUUAUAUACGCAGAGUAUUGGUUACGCAAAUCUGGCUAAGCUUGAUCCUCAAUAUGGGCUUUGUAAGUGUUGUAAAUUAAGAACUAAUUAGAUGAAAGUAGUUUUCAUUUGGGAUUAAUUAAGAAAAAGAACGUUUUAAUUCUGUGGGGGCAGAUACGAGCAUUGUGCCGCCGUUGGUUUAUGCAAUAUUGGGAAGUUCGAGGGAAAUAGCGAUCGGUCCGGUCGCUAUAAUAUCUAUGCUUUUGCCGACGAUGAUUCAGAAAAUUCAAGAUCCCGCCGCCGAUCCUUUUGCCUAUAGAAACCUUGUCUUCACCACCACUUUCUUCGCCGGAAUCUUUCAAGCCGCCUUUGGACUUUUCCGGUCUCUAAUUUCUUCUUCAGUUUCUUUUUCUUUUCUUUUCUUUUUUUUUUUGUCGAAAUUAAAAGUAAUAAUUUGUAUGGUAGUAAUUAAUGGGAUUGGAAUAAUUAUAUAAAAAACAUUUCAGGUUGGGAUUUAUGGUGGAUUUUCUAUCACAAGCUGCCAUAGUUGGGUUCAUGGGUGGAGCUGCCAUUGUAAUUGGACUUCAACAACUCAAAGGAUUGCUUGGAAUCACUCACUUCACUAAUAAAACUGAUAUCAUCUCUGUUAUGGAAGCUGUUUUCGCAUCAUUCCAUCAUCUUAAUAAUGAUGUAAAUUAUUUUUUUAUAUAAUUCAUACUCAAAACUUCAAUCUCAUUUUAAUUUAAUUCCUUCCCAAAACAAAAUUAAUAUUUAUUUUUUAAUAUCUGAUCAUGCGGUGAUGAUCUCUUAAAUUUUUCAGCAAUGGAAUCCCUUGAACUUCAUCAUUGGCUCUUCAUUCCUUUCCUUCAUCCUCAUCACCAAAUUAUUGGUAAGUUUAUUAGCUCAAAUCUUAAUGGUGGACUCUUUGUUAGUUUAGGCGUUCUUCUUUUACACUAUUUUGUCUAAGGACAAUUAUUAGUCGCAGUUGCACCUUUACCACCUUCGUGUACCAUAGUAAAUGGAAACUGUCUAUAAUAAUUAUCUUUUGGUACACUAAAAACUAUUUUGUUCAAAAUAUGUGCUACAGUUAUUUUAAAACUUUUGCUAUUUUAUAUUUCUCAUUCUCUUUUUACUCUUUCCUAUAAUAUUUAGUAUUUUAUUUUUCAAAUUAAAAUAGUUUUCACUUCAAUACAUACUAUUAUGAUUCAAAUCAAAAUAAUUUACAUUUCAAACUCAAACUAUUAUAAUCAACUUCUUACUUCAAUAAUUUACAUUUCAAACUCAAACUAUUAUAAUCAACUUCUUACUCCAAAAGUUUUUUUGGAUGAAAUGCAUUUAAUAAAUGCAACCAAAUUUUUUAUAAAAAAGAGAGAAGAGAAAAGAAAAAAUCUUAAAAAUUAAAGUUAAUUGAAUAAUGCAUAACUAAAUUUAAAUUUGAUAGUGAAUGAAUCUAAAUUUUCAAAUAUGUCUAAGUAGAUGCAUAAAAUUCAUAUUCAAUAUAAAAAAAAAAAAACUUAAAAGGAUAAGAGAGAUUUUGAUAAAUUUUGUUAGGUUUCUUUCUUUCUAAUAGGCUUAAAAUAGUUUAAAACUUAUAUUUUGUAAAUAGUUUUUUUUUUUAUCUACAAGAAAUUUCCAAAGAUUAACUAGUAAGAUUAAUUAAAUUUGAUUUCUUUUAUAAUGCAUUCUAAAUUUUCAAUAUCCAGUUGGUCCGUAAUCAAUAAUAAUAAUAUAAAAUUUAGAGACAAAACUUAUUAAUCAAAGAAGUUCAAAUUAAAUACUACAUUAUAAACAAAUCUCAAUACUAAAUUUAUAAUUUAAACUGUGUUUUUUUCAUUUGUUAUUUGUUAAAAAACAAUAAUAAUUUUUUAAAAAAGAAGAAAAAAAACUAUUUGUCCAUUUUGUUUCCUUUAGUUUUGAAGUGGAUAAAUGAAUUUUCUUUUGUUUUUUAAUUUUGAUUUUGAAUUGGUUGGGUUUUUGCUGUCGUAAAGCUACAAAGAAAAAGAAAAAGUUAUUGGCAUCCACAAUAAGAAAAAAAAGUAAAUGAUGAAUUGAUGAAAUGAACCUACCCAUUUUCAUGGCAAAAUUCUUAGAUCCUAUUUUCACCAAUAAUUUUCUCUUAUUACUUUUCACUUUUUUAGUUUAAUAAUACUUUAUUCAUUAUUGUCAACACUUACAAUAUCUAAAAAAAAGUUUCAAUUUAGUUUUAGUUUUAGUUGUAAUUAUUGUAAUCCCUAUAGUUUUAAAGUUAUGCAAUAUUUGUGUCUCUAUGGUUACUAUCAUAAUCCAAAGAUUUUUAAAUUAUAACAUUUAAAUCGAACCUAAAGCUGAAAUUAUAAAUUAAAACAUUUUAAGAAUUAAGAAAUCUCGUAACUCUAAAAGAGAGUUCGACAAAAUAAGAGUUUGAGAGGGAACUAAACUUUCUUCUUCUACUACUUCUUCCCUCUCUUAACUCUUAUACUCUCUUCUAUAAUCCAUAUAUAAUGUUGAAACUAAACUUUGUAAUUUGCAGGGGAAGAAGUACAAGAAAGUAUUCUGGUUACCAGCCAUGGCUCCAUUGGUGUCCGUAAUCCUAUCAACACUUUUGGUGUUCCUCACAAGAGCCGAUGAACAUGGCGUCAAGAUCGUCAAACGAGUCCCCCCUGGCCUUAACCCAAUCUCCACUCAAAACAUCCAAAUCCACACCCCUCAUAUCUCCCAAAUCCUCAAUGCUGCCCUCAUCGUCGCCGUCGUAGCUCUCACUGUACGUUCCAUCCUUUAAUAACCAUAUAUAUAUUUCUUUGUAAGAUAUAUAAUAUGUUUUAAUUUAAGAGUGAUUUGGAAUCACUUUUAACAUUUCAGGAGGCGAUUGCUGUGGGGAGAUCAUUGGCAUCCAUGAAAGGAUACAACAUUGAUGGGAACAAAGAAAUGGUUGCGUUAGGCUUCAUGAACCUAGCUGGAUCUCUUACUUCUUGCUAUACAGCAACAGGUUCUCUGUCACGUUCAGCCGUUAAUUUCAGUGCCGGUUGCGAGACGCCAGUUUCAAAUGUAGUGAUGGCGGUGACGGUGAUGAUAUCAUUGAAGAUGUUUACCAAGCUCCUCUACUUCACUCCCAACGCCAUCUUGGCUUCCAUUAUUCUCUCAGCUCUUCCUGGCCUCGUUGACAUUCACCAAGCUUACAAUAUAUGGAAGAUCGACAAGCUUGACUUCUUGGCCUGUCUCGCAGCUUUUUUUGGAGUUCUCUUUCUAUCUGUUGAAUUCGGCCUCCUCCUUUCGGUAACCUAUCUCUCUAUUUCUAAGUUUAGAAAUAUUACACAUUCAUUCAUUUAAGUUUUGAGUUCUAUAUCACAACAUAUAAAUUGUUGUCGUGUUGCAUGGGAGGCAUUCAGGUUUGAUUUGUGAGUUCUAUAUUUGUGUUCAACUAUUUUUUAAACAGAAAAGACAUACUUUUGGACUAUGCUUCUAAAAUUAAAGCCAAUUAGUGAUGCAUGUGAUAUUUCUUUUUUUUAUUAGUUUAGCUAAUUAAAGUUGUAUGUGCAGUUGGUGAUAUCAUUUGCAAAGAUAAUAGUAACCUCAAUCAAACCUGGGACAGAGAUAUUGGGUAAAAUCCCUGGAACCGAUACCUUUUGUGAUAUUCAUCAAUAUCCAAUGGCUCUCAACACUCCUGGAGUCCUCAUCGUUCGUGUUAAAUCUGGCUUACUUUGCUUUGCAAAUGCCAAUUUCGUAAAGGACAGGUAACAUCCCACAAUGUAGCAUUGAUAUAGUUUUACACCAUCGUCAAACUGAACUUUUAUCUAGUCAGACACAGUAGUAUGUUCAUGUUUGAAUUCACCUCCAACGAACGAUAUUUUGUUGUCUACUAAUUAACAAUAUGUUAAUGGUUAGUUAACUACAUUGUGUUGGUCUUAUUGAAAUAUAGAUGAUCCUUUGUGAACUAAUUCACGUUUAAUAUUUGUGUUUUUGAUUUAGGAUUUUGAGGUUCAUCAGCAGCCAAGAAGCAUCAGGAAAGGGAAUUACUCAAUUCCUAGUCAUUGAUCUCUCCAGUUAGUUCAAUUUCUAUUUCUCUCUUUUUUAUUAUAAGAUAUGGACACAAUAUAUAUUUUCAUAUGUUUACUUACAUAUACGUGGUUAAUUAUUUUCUUCUCUCUAUGUAGAUUUAAUGAACAUUGACACUUCAGGAAUUGCUUCUCUUGAAGAGCUGCAUAAAAAUUUGGCAACUAGUGGAAUAGAGGUGACCAUUAUAUUCUCUGUUUCUUAAAAAGAAAAAGAAAAGAAAAACCCAACUUUUGAUCUAGUCCUUUUAUCUUAACUCAAUAAAUCAAUUUAAACUUCAAACCUGGAUAUAACACCCAAUUAAAUUAAGAUAAAUGAUAAAAAUUUCCUAAAAUUUUGGAAUGUUACACCUUAUAAUUACAAACUUAUGGACAAUAGAUAAAAGUAAACUAAAAAAUCCUCCUUUACAUUUUCUUAGUGCUAAGGAAUUAGAUCUUUAAUUGAAGAAAAAUCAUGUCAAUACUAUCAUUGAGUCAAACCCAUUAUGUGGCAUUGAAUAAUAUAUAUAAUGCAUUUUGGAUCUAGGAGUUGAUGAAAAAAUAUAAUACCAUGAUAUAAGAGAUUAAAUUGAAAAAUGAACUUUAAUUAACACAAUUAAGGGUUGGUUUUCUUCCUCAAAUUCAGAUAUGGUGUGUGUGUAUAUAUAGAGAAGCAAUCAAAACAAUAUUAAAAAAGACAAUUUAAAGUAAUUUUGGUUUAGUAUUAUAUUUAUUGUUACUAACUUAAAUUUGUUGAGUUAAUUUGCCAUAUUGUUGUACCACAGAUGGCCAUAGCAAAUCCAAAAUGGCAAGUGAUUCACAAGCUAAAGGUAUCGAAUUUUGUUGCCAAACUCAAAGGGAGAGUUUUCUUAAGUGUUGGGGAAGCUGUGGAUGCAUGCCUUUCAGCUAAAAUGGGAGCUGCCAUCUAAACCACAAACCAAAAUCAUCAAAGUAUAAAUGAAUUUAAUUAAAACAAAUAAUGAAACUUUUCUUAAAUAUUACUACCAAAUUAUCAAAAUGUAAUAAAUAAAUUAUGCAAUUUUACCAAAUGCUACUUCCUAUAUACCUAUAGCUAUAUGUUUUGUUGUCUUUCUUUCUUUUAAUGUGUGGAUUAUAAUUGGUUUGAUCAUAUGUUUGUGUUAUAUAUUUGCUCUCUGUUGGACCAAACUGAUCAAAUAAAUUAGUGGUUCUCACUUAUUGAACCCUACUAUGUUGAUCUUUUCCUUUCGUAUUGUACAAUAUAACGAUGUGUUGUAAAAUAUGUAUAACAAUAAUUACUAUGAGAGGAAAAAAAAACCCAUGUAAUUUAGUUUGAUGAUCUGCCUUUUUUAUUUUUACUUGGUAUUGCUUAUUUACAUUUGAUCUCUGUUUAAAGUUUACCCAAAUUUACUUAUUAAUUGAUGAACCAAUAAAACAAAAAGUUAAUAUAUAUAUGAAGUUCAUAAUUGGAAUUAUCGAGGUUGUCAAGGUGUAUUUUCUCCUAAAUCAUGAAACUAUAUUAGGUAUGAUGAUUUUUUGGAAUUUGUUUGAAAGGUCCAACUCUUUCAACAACGAAGUUGAUAACUUUGGAGAUUUUUUGUUCAAACAAGCAUUGUCUUAGGCUCCUCUUUUUGUCCACAAAAUCAUAAUAUGUUAUUGCUCAUAUUAUGGCGUUGUUGGGUGUCCUAGGCUAGGUGGAAGAACCCCUUAUACAUUGGACUCUAAUGAAUUGAAAUCUUUAGUUCCCUUUGGUCUUAUUUGUACUGUUCAUAUACAUUAUUAUAGAUAUUUGUCGUAUAUUUUUAGUUCAACAAUUACAAAGUGUUGAUGUUUGAGCUAUCAACCUUUUGAUAUGUGAUAAUAUAAUUAGUAUUUUUAUCUACUUAGGUACAUUCGAAUUCGAAUGGACGAAAGUUUAAAAUAAAACGUUAAAAUAUACCUUAUUCAAUAGACAUAAUAUGACUAUCUUCUACCAUGAAUUUGAUUAGUUCCCUCUAGUUAAUAAUUUAAAAAAAAAAAAUUCGAUACACUUAAUUAUUAUCCUUAAAAUUACUCCUCAUUGCUAUUACUUUAGUUUUCUUUAAUCGAUGUUGAACGGAGGCAAAUCGUCAUCAUCGUAAUUGGCACUUCCAUCAAACGGCGUAGGACUGCUUUCAAAUUAUUUAUUAUAUAUAUUCGUUAUAAUGUUUGUUAAAGUUAAACAGAGAGGAGAUUAAUCUAUACUUCAGAAGUUGGAGGUACUUGGCAAUAUAUGUUUAGGAUUGUUAUGAAAUAAGAAGAAUGUCAAAAUAUUAAACGAGAAAUGACGUUCAUUUUCUCCUAUGGAACAAUAUUCAAAGUUGAAGGACGGAAGAUUGAAACAAAUUGUAAAUAUGGGUAAAAUUGCAAUAUUUUGAUGCUUAUAAACUAAAUUAAAACCAAAAUCUAAGCUUAAAAAUGAUGAACUAAUAGAAGGCAGAGACAAAAAGGUAUUUUUCUCUAAUUAAUAUUAAAGAUAUUGACUCCAUAUCAAAGUCGAACCAUACUCCAAUUUACGAAUGUAUUAUUGAUGAAUGUUUUAAUCCUCAAAUCAUAUUAGAUAUAUAAAUCAGUUCAACAAAAUUUAUUUUUAAUUAAAGGAAAAUAUAGUUCUAACUCAUAUAUAUUUGUGGUGCGAGAAUUCCUUUGCUACCUAAUCCUUUCAUUUUUAGGUCUAUUUUUCCUUCAACUAUAAUUAUUAGUCAAUAAUAUAGUUCAAUUAAUUUAAAUUACAAUCUAAGGAGAAUUGUUGCAACACUCACUAAUGUUGAGUGAAAAAAACAAACCACUAGAAAAUUUUAAGAUAGCACUAACCAUACAACGACUAUGAAGAUCGAUCUGGUAAAAGAAUUCAAUUCAAAAUUUAUCUGCAGAUAUGAUCAAUAGUUAUGCAGAGUUAUCACAAUCUUUGUAAUAACAAAAGGCCAUACUAGAGAUUUGUAUGUUUUAUGUGAGUUUUCGAAGGAGCAAAAACAUGUUCUGAUCCACCCUGAAUUUGGCACAGUGGAUGGGAUCUCCCUUCAACAGCAUUUGGAGUCCUCCAAAAGAUGCAUAAACCUCCCUGCAUAUACAAUCAUUCCAACCAAACAACAUCAGAGCCAACGAUUUACGAGACAUGUGAAACAAUUUAUUAAUUGAGUUGCAAACGCCUCAUACGACUCAAUUAUUAGUACUCAUGCUAGAAAGAGUAAAAAGGGUAUAAUCCCCAAAGCAAUUGGUUAGUGGAGUCAUGGACAUGGUACACGGUCUAAUUGUAGGGAAGGAGAGGUUAACUGCCCUCUCCAAUUGGUUAGGGUACUUGUUUUAUUCAUAGAAGAUUUGACAAGAAAAUGACAGAUUUGAACUGUUGCAGAAAAUCGUGAGAAUGUUAGGUCACUUACACUUUCAAGUCUGAACCUGAGCCUUCAUCUGAAAGUUUGUAUGUUUUACCAUGCAUGAUGUAUUCAAACUUAUCAGCUAAAGAUUUCUUCCCUUCCUGCCAAAAAUUAAGUUCAUUUGAAGGAUAUUACCACUAAAAUUUCAAAUGUGAUGUUUACAAUUACGAUCAUGGAAACUGAAUUAAACCAGGUUUGUCAAAGUUUCUCUUGUUAACUUUAUGUUAAAAGUGUAUCUACGUUUCUAAUGCUAUCCAACAUCUACAAAAUUUUGAUUAUACUUUUGUUUCUAUAGUCUAUACGAAGUUUCUUUAAAAAAAAGUCUUUUUAAGUACAACUUGGGGUGGGGAAUUUGAACACGAACAUCUUGUCCUCGGGAACAUACAAAUGCCAACUACGCUAUGCUUGUGUUGGCAAUUUAUACAAAGUUACGAACCUUUAAAAUAAAAUUAAAUAAAUUAACAAGUGCAUAUUUUCUUCAUAAGAAAUAAAUGUAAUGAAAGAGCAAAAGAAGCAGAUAAAAAUAAAUGACAGUACAGCAUAACAUAGAAGCAAAGAGAACAAAAUUAAAAGAACAAUACAGUUUUUUUCAAAAAGAAGUGGAACAAGCUCUCUGCACGCCUACAGAGAGGCAUUGAAAUGCAACUCACUCUAAACCACCUCUCAUGACUUUUCUAUAUCUCUAAAGAUUCUCCAAUUUCUUUUGAGCCAUAGAUGCAACAAGGUAGAUUAAAACAAGGGCCUCCUCCGAAAUAUUGGUUCAAGAAAUUCAAAAACUUGAAGGACUCUAUUGAGAUUAAUAAGAUGCUCCUCAGUGUCUUAAGGGAAGUUGGAACACCAAGCGCAUAUUCAAGACUUAACAAAUCUAUGUCAUGCAUCACAAGCCUUAGACACAAGUCAUAAGGAGCCUAAAUAAGUCACAUUCCUUUCCUCACAUUUGUUUUCAAGAGACAUGGCUAGCACAAGCACGGCCUUGACAGAACGAAACCAAUGGAUACUUGCCCUGCAAUUUGCAGACCCUUUUUUCUAGUUUUUUUUAGACUCCUUGAUAAGAUCCUUCUCCAAAUGUUCAGUCGCAGAGAUACCUUGAGGAGUUAUUAAUGAUAUCUUUAGUAAUUCCUAUAAAAUAUUAUUAUAUAUCUACCAUUUCUACUCAUGGAAAAAUUGAUAUGGACGCAGAUGCCAACAGUUUUUUUUUUUACCUGUCUGGUCUUUUAAACAAUGCAAACAGAAAAGGAACAGCCCGAAUCCUCCAUCAACAAAGUUAAAUAAAACAUUGGAGGGAUUACCUGAUCUUUAUAGCUGGUAACAGGAGAUCCAUCAUAGUUCAACGUGGGAGACAAGACCAUCAGAAGCUUCUCACCUUCAUCAAUAGGAUAUAUCUCUGUAUUUACAUCCAGCAGCAUAUGCAUCGAAAGCUUCUCACUCCGUGCUUCAAUUCUAGAAACUAGAACAACAAUUUUAUGCAAUCAAUGUGCAUCCUGUAAAAUCCUUCACGCUAAAAUCAAUACAGUGAAGAAGUUUCAAGUCCACAAAGGGGGCUAUUUUAUAGCAUGGGCAUCUCAAAACCAAUUGGCAAUGAGAGUAGCUCGUCUAUUGAGAGAGCAGCGUCUUGUAACAAGUGAGUUUUGUGAUUCCCAACAUCUCAACGGAGGCUCAAAAGUUCAUAAACCAGAAACUAAGAAUUAAAAGAAUGAGAGAGCAAUAAGAAGCUUGAGGGAAGUACCUUUAUCAUACUUUUUACCAUCUGGGUUGACACACUUGACCUUGAAAAUAUCAUUAAAUAGAAGCCCCGCCAUGUUUAUGGAGAAUUUAUUUCUCAGAAUGCAAAUCUGAGUUGGUAGACAACAUAAAAAAAUAUUAGAUAUGGGAAGAAAGGCAGGAAAAAAAAGCAAAAACUAAAAUUUACAGAUGAUCAAAGGCUCAAUUGAGAGUGAUACAUAGAUAGAGAUUUGGCGCAAAGGCGCAAAGGCGCAAAGACGGAGGUGGAACAAGAGUGAGAGGAAUAUGAAAGGGUUUAGGGUUUUAUUUUAGGGGUACACUUUUUCCUUAUUUUUCUAUUAACAAAUAUGAAUUUAACAUAUUCGAAGCUUAAAAUUCAAUGGCAUGACAAAGACAAACCUUACUCCAUCGCCGUUUAUAUACUUAUACAUAUGUAUUAAAAGUAAAAUUGUUUACUAUUAAUAUUUUUUUAAGAAAAAGUAAGUUGGGAGUUCAUAGUUUAUAUUUACAAGGUAGGAAGAAUUGAAGCUUGAACAAAGAAAGCCUUUGUUAGUAUAAUUACAACACCCACAGCAUGUUUUUGUGGUUUUUAGAAAUUGGUCAUUCUAUCUUAACUCCAAAAUUUUAACCUUUCGAAUUGUAAAAACUAAUCAUAAACUAUGGAUAAUUACAAUUAUGCAAAUGAAUUUGACGACCAAAACCAGAAGAGAUAAUGCAGAAAAUAAGGACAAACAAUAAUAUCAAGUAAAGGGGAAGAAAAUAGUCAGGGAAACUUUCCUACUUUCUGAGAGCUCUUCUUCCUUUAGUAGCUUCUUAGGACUCUUCCUCUUAACACUACCCUUGAGAAGAUUGAAGGAAUUUCGGAAAGGGGCGCGGCGACGGAGCGUGUGGGCGACUGGGUGAUUGAAGGAAUUUCGGUAAAAAGGUUCAGGGUUUAGGUUUAUAUUGGCUUGGGCCAACCCUACACUUAUUUAACCGACCCAGGUCAUGUUAUUAUUAUUCCAAUGAUUUUUCUGAACAGGUCUAGAAGUAAAGGAGAACCCAACAUCACCGAAUCCCACUUCACUAAACUGCCUCAGAAUGAGCCAUAACAAGACUAGACGCUUCAAAAAUCAUCAUCCUCGUCGCGGACAAUCUACUCGGGGCCAUAAAUUUAUUGGGUAUUUACAUAUACUCUUACCCUUUUCCUCUGAUUCGUCUUUUCAUUAUAUCGAUCAUUUGUUUUGUUUAUUUCUUUUUUUUCAGAGAGGAUGAGUGUUUGCCGGUCGACCCAGGUGCCUACUUUGUCUCACUGAAGUUUGCUUCUACAUGGGUGAUUUUGUUCUGUUUAAAGAAGCCCUUUUAUAGUGGAGAGACUUUGGAUUUAGGUUCCUGACGAGUUCCUUUUUGUUGCAGCCAAUGAAGAGGAGCCAACGCGUCCAAAUAUUCACCUUGCCAUGUGGGUGUGUGCUUAACAUUUUUUUCUUCGCUUCGCGUUUUUGUUGUUGAAUUCUGAAUUGUGUCAUCCUUAAACUUGUUACUGUUGUGCUGUUGUUACAAAUGGGAAUGAAAGCUUGAGCUUACAAAGUUGUAAGUAAAUUGAAAUUGAUGGUGUUUUGUGGUUGAUUCAGGAUUUUGGGCAGUGUGAUGCAAAAAGGUGUACAGGACGCAAGCUUGCACGAUUUGGCUUGUUAAAAGAACGUACCUGAUUCUCUCCUUUUCUUUUGUUUUCAUAUUUUUUACUAUGUUGCUUAUUUUCGCAGUGAUUGGUUCGUGUAGGCAUAUAAAGAAACCAUUUUAGUUCUCUAACAGGGUUAAUUAGUUUGUAUGUUUGCAUUCCCUCUCCACUUCGUUAGUUAUUGUACGAAAUGUAUUGUUGGAUGUAUUGACUUAGUUCUAUACGAUCUUGCUGGGAAUUUUGAAGAUGCAUUCACAUAUGAUGAUUGGUAUCAAUAUGAAUUCGAUGCUUAGGGAACAGGAAUGGAAGUCUAUAGAAAAAUAGGUUAUAUUGUGUUUAGAUGCUGGAGAAAAUCUAAUGGAUGGUUUUGCUUCCCAAGUGGAGAAUGUCCAAAACGAGGAACUUUCCAAAUGUGUAAUCCUAAUUUCUUAGUUUGGUCAUACAAUGCUUUAUAAAAAGUACAACUUAGAUGACAGAAUCCUUGAAACUCUUGACAUUCAUGCCUUUCAAUUGUAAACCAACAAAUUGGGUUUAAAUUGUAGAAGUUGAAAAAACAGGGACCAAAUAGAAAUAGUAAAAACUAAGGAACAAAAAGUACAGUUUUGUUUAAUUAUUUUUAAGUUGAUUCAUUAAAUGAGGCAAGAUGCUUUCAUAUUUGUAUGAUUAAUCGGAUUCAUGCUUGUUUAAGGUUUUAGUUAGAUGGCAUUGUGUAUAAAAUACUAUUAACGGAUUUCUUUCUACAUUGAAUAAAGAAUGAAUCUAACUUCUCUUGAGUUCAUGCAGGAUUUGCGUGUUAACAGUGGGUUUGGAGGCAUUGUCUUAAGGUACUGAACGAUUAUGCUUCCUUGUGUUCUAGUUUAGUUGUAACUGAAUGUUAGUGUAUGAUAAUACAAUAACAAACUAGUUGUCACAUCACAUCUCUAACUAAAUAACGUCUAAAGGCAUCUAACUUUCAGCUGUGAGAAUCAACACUAUGCUCCACUUUUUUCAUCAAUAAAGCAUGAAGAAGCUGCUCAAAUUCAGAAUUUCAACCUCUUUCGUCUUUCCAAAAGGCUAAUGAAUGAAACUCCCAUGACAAAAUCACACAAUCCCAAUGAAAAAAACUGACCCAUUUGGUAAAGAAGCAAACCUUUUGUGGUUCAACCGGUAGGAAAAUUGAUGAUUAGGCCAUCUUGAAAUACUGAAAUAUUGAAGACUCCACAAAUGCAUCAAAGGCCUUCACAAUAACUAUGAAUUGACAUAGGAUCCGGCCAUAGAAUCUUCUUUUAUAUAAUGAGAAGGAUUGUAUUAGAUAUCCAUCAAGAACACUCUAUGAUGUUGCUUUGAAGAAAAACCCAUUUGAGUGUUUCUUUAACUGACACCUUAUUUUCAACCCACAUGAACAAGAUGCCACCAGUUUUUUAAGAGAAUCCUCAAAGGACCAGCUACAACUUUAAAGCUUCAAAAUAAUUUUUACUCCAGGUGAAACUGCCACAACCAUCCGGAUGAUGAGAUGGAGGAAAUUUUUUCAUAACUGAAAAGAAGUAACAAACAACAAUCACUAAUGAUAAUUGAGAAGAAGCAACCCCUGAACUUAAGCCAAAACUUGCAAUUAAGGAGGAGAAUUUAGAUGGGAUUAUAGAUAGAUCAACCAAGGAAAACUUACUUUUAGGAGUCUGAAUAGAUUUUCUUUCCAUUGGAUUUUGGAAUAAACUUGCUAUUACUUCACUAAAAUUAUCGUCAAUUGAGAAUUCUUCUGAAUUAGAAUUUGUAACCGACUUUUGUAGCCAAAUGGUUGUGGCGGUUUCACCUAGAGUGAAAAAGAAGCGCCCUUUGAUAGACAACCGAAAGGGUAUAUUUUUCAUCCCUAAAUGGGUGGCCCAGAGAGAAGCCCCCUUUGAUAGACAACCUAAGGGUAUAUUUUUCAUUUGUAAAGGAGUGGCCCAGAUACAUACAAACCAGAAAGUCAUGGACAAGCUGGGAGACCAUGGACCAUAUAACGGCUUCCAUCACAAAAGCCUAGUAAUUAUAUGAAAAAAGAGGGAAAAUGUAAAGACAUUAUGAGAUUCUGAUCUUUUACAAAGGAGACUGGCUAGAGUAGAGCUAUUCGUUAUUGUGGUCUAUGAGCAAGCUAAGAUUUUGAUUUUAGCUCUUGCUAUUCUGUUACAACCUUUGCCCAUUUCAUAAUGUAUUUUGGGGAACACUUCUUUAAUAAUGAAGAAACCAAUCUUUAUUGGGAUAUAGUGAGGGUUCGACUCGUCACCUAGUGGUGUAAUUUAUUGAAGGGUGGGAACGGUGCAAGCUAAGUGCAGUAUGUUCUAACUUGUAACUUGUAAGUAAAGACUGCACGUAAGAGUUAUUUCUUCUGGGUUAAGUUGGGUGUUUGAGAGAGGAGAGUUUUCAAAUUUUCCGAAAACCGUGUACAUCUCUUUACUCUAUUGUCAAUAACUGAUUGUAGUAAAUUGAAGGAUUAGAAACAUGGCUAUUACUUUUCAUUUGGCCGUUUUUGCAUUAGUUGUACUUUAUCAAUCUAGUAGUAUGUGCUUCUCCCUAUGGUUGGCCAUGAUCUAUCAUAUUGCUAACUAUCCUCUUACAAGAACAUGCUUUCGUAAUUUUUUUUGUGAUCUGAUGAAAGGAGAUGAAUGGUAGUGAUUAAAUUCAUACUCAAAGGCAUAUAAACAUUUUGUUGGUUCCUAUAUUGAACCUUUUCAAUCUUAAAAUUUUGGCAGUCCAGUGGGGGUGAAUUGUGUCUCCAAAGAAGAUCAUAGUCUUCUUAAACAAAAAAGGAUUAGCAGUUGUGGAUUGCUCAUGGGCACGGUUGGGUGAUGUUCCAUUUGUGAAAUUGCGAUGUGCUGCUCCUCGCCUAUGUAAGAGAUUUACAUCUUGAAUAUGAAAGUCUUGUGUAGUUCUUAACCUUGCUGUCAUUUGAUUGUUAGUAAUUUCCAAACUGCCAUUGAGAUUUCACUAAAUUUGAUGAAGUGCAUUUUCCUGACUAGACUCUAUUUGGUUGGCUUUGGUAAUUACUAGAUCAUGAUUUUGUUCUCUUGGUUCUGAUUUUCACAUCCUGCAAAUUGUUUAUGCAAAUAUUUGUAGUACCUUGGCUAGUAGCAGCAAACCCAGUAAACUAUGGUCGACCAUGUGAGUUAUCUUGCGUGGAAGCAUUAGCCGCCGCUCUAAUCAUAUGGUAACGCACCUUUAUCUCAUCUUUUCUCUUGUUUGCAACUUUGUUCUAAAUUCUGCUGAGAUUCAUGUCAAUUGCUAAUCCUCAUGUCAUCUUGUAUCCUUUUGUCAUAAAUUUGGUGCAAUUAGCUUACUUCUGAUAAUUCAGGGAAAAUGAUCUAAGAUUUAUAAGGUGUUGUACUUCUUUCAUUGGAAGUGAGAGAACAGCAUACUUCCCUGCUUGAUUGUUCAAAUUUGGCAAAGUGCUAUAGAGUAGUCUUAUUAGUCACUUCACUUCAAGAUACAGAACUCUGAUGAAGUUUUUUGUUUGGUUUUGUUAGUCCCUUUGGUUCUAAUUAGUCACAAAGAAAGGUUAUUGUUGUUGCUGAUGUUGUAACUAACCAAGUUGUAGAUCUCCGGUAGUAAUCCUCCUUUAGCAACCUAAGACUUCCAGAGACUGUCAAUACAAUAUGAUUUGUGGUAAUUGUUAAUGUUAAGUUGUUAACACUCUGCUUAUCACUUUUUUAAUGGAUGUUUAAACUACUUUAUAGCUUGAAAUGGAAAUAUGAUUAUUUGUUGGUGUAGAUGAGCAAGUAUUCUGUUCAUUUUGUUUAACUAUCUCUAUUGAACUGAACUAACAGUGGGGAAGGGGAAACAGCAGAUCUGUUGCUUGGUAAAUUCAAGUGGGGUCAUGCUUUUCUUUCCGUUAAUAGGUAUGUUUUAUUAUUUAACUCUUAAAUUUUUAGUUUUAAAAACAAACACGAUAUAAUAUGCUGGUUCAUCCAUAAUAAUUGCAACCUACUUGCAUCAAAUGAAGAUUAAAAGGCUUGUUUAGAAAUGAUUAAGGGCUUAAAAACACUUACUUUGCACUUCAAAACACUUCACUUAAAAAGUCAUUCCAAAGCAGUACUGCUUAUCAUAUUCUAACUGGACCUGCCUAUUAGCUCGCAAUUACCUGAGAUAUUUGAUACUAAAUUACAAAUUUAGCCAUUUAGCCUUCAAGUAUAUAGAGGAAUUCUAGGCUUAUAAAUGGCGCUAUUAUUUGAGCCUUUUCCAUGAUCAUGCUUGCUUAUUUUUCUUUUGUAUUACACAGAGAACUUCUAAAACAAUACUCAGCAUGUGAGAAUAGUGCGGAUAUUAUUUCGGUCCAGAAUGCUUGGUUAUCACAACAACGACAAGUCCCCAAAGAACCGCAUAAUGUCGAAGGUAAUCUUUUGAAUCAAUUACAUCGAUCUGUUUUUUGUUUUGCACCUUAAUUUGAAGAAAAUGGAGUUGCAUCAUACUCUCUAUAUGCGUGGAGAAAACGUUGCUGAAGUAUUUUUAGUUUAUAUCUAGUAGUUAUUAGGAACAGGUAGAUUUUCGAAUUCACAUCCAACUGUUUUUUAAGAAUCACACAAUGUGAUUGUCAUGUUGAAGAAAUUUUUGGUGUCCAUAGUUAUAAACAUUAACCAUACUGACAAGAGCAAGCAACCAAGCCGAUCAAAAUCAAACCAAAUUGACUCUAAUCAACAUUAUCGAACCAAAAUAAACAGAUAGACUGUUUUUGGGAGUAUACAUUUAUGAAAACCAAACCAAUUUGGGCUAAAUCAAUGAAGUAGAGGCCCUUUUGAUUUGGGACUAGAGUUGUUUUCGUAUGGAAGGACUUGUGAGGGUUUCACUGAAACGAGACUGAACAUAUGUUGUAGGUGCAGAUAAGUCAUCCGUGAGCGAACAUGAUGAAGGUUCCGAUGAUUCGGAAGAUGGACUUCCGCCAUUGGAGAAGAAUCUAAAUCACUUGACCUUGCAGCAAGAAAGCGACGAAGAAAGCGAGUAAAAUUCAUACCAUAUACCAUAGAGGCAAAAGUUUAAUGUAGAGACCAUAACAGUUCCCUGUAGUAAAGGAUUCUUCUAUUUUGCUUUGCUUUUUAACUUAAUAGAGAAAUAAGUCGAUGGUGUUUUGUAAUUUUGAUAUUAACAUUUGAUUUUUCUUUUUCAUGGGCUCCUUGUGGGUAUGUGUUUGUAGGUUUAAGUUUAUCAUCUUUUUGCCAACACCCACAUUAUCAGUUUUACAAAAAAUAAAAACCAAAGUAUAGAAAAAUAUUUUUUUAAAAUAUAGAAAUAUUAUGUCAAAUUUAGUGAUAAAAGAUUUUUGUCUUCUGUAAAUAUUUUGUAUUUUUUUUUUAAACUCCUUUUUUUUUUCUUAAUAUUGCAGAAUCCGAAACUUAUACAUUAAUUUGGUCUAAUUAUUCGUUUCUUGAAGAGGUGAAGUUGCUUUUUAAAAAAUCUAAUUCGUUUUCUUUUUAUUAAUUUUGAACUUCUUUAAAAUUAAAAUGUUGUCUUAAUAACUUUUGAAAUUUAAAUAUAUUUGUAAUAAAUUUUUACAUUUGCAAUUUAAAAAAAAAAAAAAAAAAAAAAAAAAACCUCCAAUGUCCACCCAUUAUAAUUUAUUGUUUUUUUCUCUCCAUUUUCUAAUUCAUAUUCAGUACAUAACUAUUAUUCAAAAUUCAAGCCUCACUAUAUUCAAGUCAUACUUAAAUUUAGCAUUUUGAUAUCCAAAACAUAUGAUCAUGAGCAGCUAAUUAAGACAUUUACAUAUGAUUGGUAAUACUUUCAUAAUAAGUAUGCUAAAGAAAUGAAGUGUUUUUUGUUUCUUCUUUAUCAUUUUGUAUAAGAAUCAACGUGAAAGUGAAGACGGUAGAUCUCCUUACAUGUUUAUGUGAUACUUUCAAGCUAAAUUUAUUUGAUAUUAUGUUUUAUGGAAAUUAUUGUCCUUUCGAGAUUUGGUUGGUUUCCAAAUUUCUCUUGCAUUGGAAGCAAGGUUGUAACUACAAUUUUUAUGUACUUAAUUUUGCCAACAAUAAUAAUUAUCAAUACCCAGUUUUAUCAAAAAGUAGUUUGAUUAAAAUCUCAAUCUACCCUACUUGAUUUAAUUGCUAUACUCCUAAGGUGGACAUUUAGCAUCUUAAAAGUUAACCUAUGUCAUGCAAAGUAUUAUAACAAACUAUCAAAAUAAAUAAGGUGCUAGAAUGAACUUAACUUAGCGGUAAUUGACACAGUCUUAUGUUAUAAAGAUAAAGAGGUUUAAUUCACCAUCAUCCUACAAUUGUUGUAUAGCGAAAAGUAAUUGAGCAUGUAUUGUUUGAACAUACCAUGACCAUUGAAUGACGAUAGCAAAAGAGGUUGCUGAUAAAAGUUCUUAAUGCUUUGUUUAAUUAUUCAGUUUUGAUAGAUUAGCAAAUUAGUAAUCAAGCAAAAGAAAGAUUGACCUUGGAGAGGGGGUAAAACAAGUUGAGUUUAGUAUUUCCAUUGAUGAUGUUUAUCCUAUAAACAUGUAUAUUUGUUGAAAAUUUUCAUACUUGAUCACUUUCAACAUGUUUAUCUUAUUUUCAUUCAAACCAACCUUGUAAAAUAAAAUUACACUAUCUCUAAUUAGCUAAAAGAUAUUCAUACCCAUUAUCCUUACAACCACAACCAUAUAUAUACAUAUAUUUGCAUGUAUAUACAUGUGUAUAGAUACACGUAUACAUACAUACACAUAUUUAAUUACAACUUUUACCAAUUACCUGUCUCUAAAUUCUUAUUAUGAUCCUUUUUCAUGUGUUUCUAUGAUUCAUAUAUUUUAACACCGAAAGUGUUUUGAAUUGUACGAAUGUAUGGUGUAAUAUUUAAAUUGAAUCGAAUGGUUGACUGACUUUGUUGAGAAAUUAUGAGAUGAUACUUUGGAACAUUGAAUAUUACAUUUUAUAAGAAAAUUUUACAGCAUUUUAUUUAAAUACAAAUGUAUUAGAACCGCCUAUUUAACAUUAAAAAAAUUAUAAAAUUUUUACAAGGUCGAGAAUUUUGUUAAAAAAUGGAUAAUUGAAGAAGGAAAAAGCUAACAGAGAAUAUUUUCCAUAAAGAACCUAAAUAACGAGUAAAUUUACAAAUCUCUACUUCUCACAAUAUUCUUAUGCGAGUAGUACUUUUGAAAAUACUGUAAAUUUAAAAUUAUAAGGAUAUUUUUUAGAGAAAAGAGAAUUCGGAUAAUAUUUGUUGUAAAAUUUAGGGGUCUUUUAAAAAUAUAACAAAAGGAAAGAAUAUUUACACGUACAAAACAAUUUUGAAAACGGAAAAUAUAAAAAAUGCCUAUAUCAAUAUGCGAUUAAUCGGUCACGUACGUGCAUGUAGAGAUUUUUCUUCCAAACGAUCAUGAUACACGAAUUACACCAGCUACACACGAGCGUGUAAUUCUUCUUUUAAACGAUCCUGAUACACAAUCGUUAACAAUUGCGUAGUUUAUGAUGCACGAUUAUUAGUUCGUGAUAAACAAUGGUUUUGGAAAGAAAAAAAACCCAGUAAAUUAUAGUGUAGAUGAUGAUACAUGGUCGUGUGUAGUUUACGAUACACGACAUGAAGUUCAUGAUACAUUAUGAUUUUGAAAAGCCCUAGUAAUGAUUGUGUAGUUCAUGAUACACGAUCAUGUAGUUCAUGAUAAAUGUUGACUUUGAAAAGUCUUAUGAUAAAUGAUCAUGUAGUUCAUCUCUGUUCACAAUAAAUUGUAAUAUUAUGAUAAAUGAUCAUGUAGUUUAUCAAUGUUAAUGGAAGUUGAAUAUUUUUAUUAUAUUUAUGAAAAUUAAUUUUACGUUGAAAUAUUAAAAGAAAAAGAAAAAGAGAAGAAAAUAAUGAAAGGGUAUUUUGGAGAUUUUAGAAACGAAAUAUUGGAUUUUAAUCGGACAGACUCUUCCCAUCGUUUCACUACCAAACUCACAUCGGCGAAGCAAAAAACCCUAGAAAGCCCCCCACAAUCUCUUCGCUCUGUUUCUUCUUCCUUCUACGCCAUUGAUUUCCAUUCAUAAAAUUUGUGUUAAACGAAAAAAACAAAGAAAGAAAAAGAAGAAAAAAAACACAACACAUUUUCUUUUAUCUCUUCCAAAUUCCAUUUUCUUCUUCUGUUUCUUCUCUCUUCUUCCUUUGUUUUCAGGUUACAGCGAACGAGUUGAGCCACUGAUUUCGGGGGCCCAUUUUUGUUCUUUUUUAAUUAACUUUUUUCUUUGGAAGUUGUAAUAUUUAAGAGUUUUUCUGUUGUGGGUUUUCUUGAAUGGUUGCUGUAAUUUUUCCCUUUUAAUCUCUAAUGGUGGGUUUUGUUUUAUGGAAUUAGGGUUACAAUUUUCCUUUCAUUUCCUCAUCUAAGGGUUUCUUCGCCUCUGUUUUUCUUUUCCUCUUCGCAAAGUCAAGCCAAAUACUUUCGUGAGUCAUUUUCACAUUAUCUUUUUUUUUUUUUUCUUUCUUUCUUUCUUUAAUUUUUAUGAUGUUUUCCGAUGGCUCUUAAUCAUCCCUCUCUUUUUUUUCCUUGCAGGUUUGAAAUUUGAGUUUUGAAUUUAGCGGGAUGUCUUCCAAAUCGAAAUAUUCAAUUCUCGACAAUCGACCGAUUGAUCAGUGGAAGGUUACGGAGUUGAAAGAGGAACUUAAGAGAAGGAAAUUGACCAUCAAGGGGUUGAAGGAAGAUUUGGUUAAACGGUUAGAUGAAGCAGUUCGAAUGGAAAGGGAAGAAAAUGCUGAGGAAACCAAUGGUGUUGAUGGUGACCCUCCAGUUACAAAUAGUGACAAUAACCAAGAGCAUGCAUCUAUUGUUUCUGGAACGGCGAAAGAAACUAAUGAAGAUACUAACAUCACAGAUAAUGUAGAUGAUGUUGGAGUUCAGGUUGAAAAGGAUGAUAGUAAUGCAGCUGUGAAGGAAGGUGGAAUUCAAGAUGGGGCUGGUCUUAAUGGUUCCCCCAGGGUAGAAGAGGGAUCGUCCGUCCGUGUUUCUACUGUGGAAACUAAAACUACUGUAACUGAAACCGUAGUAUCUGAAGUAGCAAUAGGUGUGGGUGUGGAAGGUUUGCAGAACACUGAAAGCAAGGAUAACGAGGAUAGGCUCGAGCUGGAUAGUGAGGAUUCAAAGCCCCAGCUGGAUAGUGAGGAAUCAAAGCCCCACAUGGUUAGUGAGGAGUCAAAGCCUCAACUGGUUAGUGAGGGUUCAAAGCCACAGCUUGAUAGUGAGGAUUCAAAGCCCCUGCUUGAUGAUGUGAAUAUGGAGCUCCAGGUGGAGAAUGAGUAUUUGAAGUCUCAACAGGCAGAUCUCGUGCACGACUCUUCUGCUCCAGACGACCAGGUAUCUGAGGUCAGCCCUGUUUUAGGGUCUCAAGUAAGAACUGAUUCUAUUUCUACUGCUUCUGUGACAAUUAAUGAAAUGAUUGAACUAAAGGAAAAUAUGUCUGCUGAUCAUGUAAAAUUAGAACUAGAUGUUAAGCAGGAGAUGGUGGAACCAUCAUCCAGCAUUAUUGUCCCAGAUGCUGGCGAAUCACAUCCUAUGGAUGUUGAAGAGCCACAUGUGAACAAGAAUGUUCAAGAGUCACUUGCAAACAGAGAUGUUCUGGAGUCACCUGAGAACAAAGAUGUUAUGGACUCUAUUGUGAAAGAAGAUGUUGAGAAGAAAGAAGAUGUUAAGGACAUAAUUUCUGAGCUUCAUGAGAAGCAUGAUGGUGUAGAUGUGGGGUUCUCUGAAAAGCUUAAUUUAGAUAGAAGUUCUGGGGAUGAUUCAAUAGAAGAUACAACAGAGAAUAAGACUGAUUCAGUGAAUAAUCUUGAAGAAAUGGGAGAGAAGAAUGUAAAAAAUGAGGGCCUUAUGUCCCAAGAGGAAAAGGUUGUUGACAUAGCAAUGCGAGGCUCAACUGGAGACAGAAAGAGUAUUGGUAUAGAGAAUGACGUUACAUCUUUGCCUGCUGAAAAAAGAAGGCUUCAUGGUAAUGCUUACUUCUAGACCCUCUCUUCUUCCCCAAGCCUGAUCCGAGCUACCAAAAUGAAAGGAAAUAAAUGAAAACUGUGUUAUAUUUCUCAGCCUAAUUAAAUAUUUCUGCAUAUAACAUAAAAAAUUUUAACUGAAAGAAAAUAAAUGCCAAACUGUUUACAAAAAUAUCAAAAGAAAAAAAAUCAUUGAUAGACACGGAUAGGUUUCUAUUACAUAUAUAUCAAUAAUAAACUUUUAUCAAUUUCUAUCAAUAAUAAUAUUGAUGUUAGACUUCUAUUAGUGUCUAUUAGCGAUAGACAUGUAUCAGUUUGUAUAAUUGAUAGACAUUGAUGGGCCACCAUCCAACUUCUAUCUGGGCUGUAAGGAAUGGAAAUUUUUUUGCCAUAACUUCUAAUUAGUUUGGCCCAUUUUUCUAUAUUUUAAAAGCCUUCUAUAACAUAAAUGAUUUUCUGUUUUGAAAUUUUCAAUAUGGUUUUUCUGUCAGUACUGAAAUUUUGACCUGAUAAUUUUAUGGUUGGGAAUUUUGAUUUAAAGUUUUUCUUGUUAUGUAAUAUUUUCAACUUAUGUAUAUGCAAUGUAAUGGAUGUCACUUUAGUUAGGGAUAAUGAAUUUUUGUCAUACAUACCUUUUCUUGUUUUCCUACGAAUAAUAUUAUAUCAAUUGUUGGAAUUGGUUUUCUUCUUCCUUUUGUUAGUUGUAUGUUGGAUAAGGGUUGUCAUUAUUUUGAUUCACCGGAAUAUAUAUGUGGAGUUUUAGAGUACACCCCACUACCAUAAAAAGAGUUGUAAGAAGAGUAUCUGUUGCUUGAGUCUCUUGAAUUGCAGCUCAGAAUAUUGCUAGCUUUCUUUCAAUGGAUGAUUUUGUUUUUUAGUAUUUGGUAGUAAAGUUGAUAUUUAGUUUCUGCAGUAUCUGCAUUGGCUUUUCUGGAAGAAAUAGGUAGCUAAAUGAUGCUUGACGACUGGAUUUUGUUGUUGCCUCCCAGUGCUUAGUAAUUGGCUAAGUGCUUUGGUGCAGUGUCAGUACUGUGUUGUGUUGUUGCGCUUUCUGUGAGUAGUGAUGAGUCAAGUGUACAAAACAUUGUUCUAGUUUUAAACAAAAGUUGCUGUUUGGAUAAAUUGUGUUGCUAUGCUUUUUCAUAUUUUUGCUCGAUGUUUUUCAUUUUCUUUUUUCUUGUUCUUUUUUGAAUUAGUUGUACCUCUUACAUUCAUGAUGGGUGUCUUCUGGUAAGGUUUCUUUAGAUGUAAGAUGACCUUCAAAUAUAAUGGAUGGUUCAUGGUUCUGUGAAAUCUUGUUUUCAGUUGAACUAAUAUUCUCUCUGGCCAUCUGGGGUUUACUUUCAUUUCCAGCUAAAUGGACAGGUUCUAUCUCCAUAUCUGUCCAUCUACAUGUAUCUCUUUCUUAGUGCCUUUUUCUGGCCAUACCAUGAAGUAUCAGUCCAGACAGUUUCUGGGAUGGAUUGUCCCCAUUUCUGCAAAACCCCAUGCUCUAUUCUCUCCUUGUUAAAUGCUACCUUAACAUUUUAUUAUACUCUCUCUUCUUCAAACUCCAAGUUCUGUGCUGAAUUAUUGUGGACGAUUCAGUCACUAGCACUUCUAAUUAGUAUCGAGUGCAUUCUUUUGUUUUGAUGGACUUUAUUGGGAGAUUGUUCUUGUCAUAAGUAAAAUCAUAGGAAAGUGGAACGUUGAGAUCAUAUAGCCAAUUUGUAGGUGUUUUCUCUUUUGUUUUCCCCCAUGUUUUCUUGUCUUGGGCUUUCAUUUUUGUAUAUUUCGCUUGAUAGAAGUCUUCUUUUCUUGAAAAGAAAUGUAAUUUACGAAGGAGCUAAAGUAAAGGGUUGACAUUCAUUUGCACCUUUAGGAAGUAAGUGUUAAUAGAAGGAUAAAAGGUAAUCCCUAGGCAAGUAUAGAGAGGGAGCAAGGAAAUGAUUGAAGUUCACGGAUUCAUAUAUCAGAUUCAUCAAGUUACUUCUUUUUUGAAUUUGUAUUUCAUGUGAGGCGACUGGUUGAGAUGAGUUAAACCUUUAGACGUACGUUUUCUGGUAUUUAAGUCUGGCUGUAUUACGUUGAGUACCUCCCAUAUUUUCCAUGUUAACAGUAAAAUUGGGUCCUGUCCUGCUUCCUUCUGCUAUGAAUGUAAGAGAAUUCACCUUAAUCUGGCCGUCUUAUUGCAAAUAGUUACCUCUCUCUCUAUAGUAAUUUCGUCUUUUCUUUAAGUGGAGUUUAAAAGGGAAUGUGGUUUUAUAAUUUGGAUGGCGUGCUGUGAUGGGGGUAUGUGACAGGUCUUAUUGAUUAUUGAUUCAAUUGAAGAACAGUUUACUGCAUUGGAUUUCCUUCAAAUUUAAAAUCAAUUGUCUUUGUUUUGUUUUGUCUGAUGAGGUUAUUUUUGCAGAUCAAGCAGUGGUUGGAAAUGAGUCCGUGAAGAGACAGCGUAGGUGGAAUUCUGAGAACCUCAAAAUUCCAGAGCCCCAAAAUGCUGCUCAUCAUACAUCGACUAGUAAUUCAAAGGACAUUCAUCAAUCCACUGCUCCAAAACGCAACUUCUCCAGAUCUGACUCCACAGCUAGUGAAGAUCCAUCAAAGGAACGUGUUGGUGAGUUAAAUUUGAGGAGCUGACUAUACUAUAAGCUCUUGGCCAUAUCUGAUUAAAUUUGAUGAGCUGACUAUAUUUUAAGCUCUUGGCCACAUCUGAUUCACUCGUCUCUCUUUUGCCUUUUGCAGUUCCACCAUCACCAAAACCUCCCACAAACUCACUAAGAAUUGAUCGUUUUCUGCGUCCAUUUACCCUCAAAGCUGUGCAAGAACUUCUGGGUAAGACUGGCAAUGUUACCAGUUUCUGGAUGGAUCACAUCAAGACGCAUUGCUAUGUAACUGUAAGACUCUUGGACAUAACAUUGAGUUUUCUAAUUAUUUUCUGCUUCAAGUGGUGCACAAUGUGGAAUUUGAUUCUUGGACAUAACAUUGAGUUUUCUAAUUAUUGCUUGGAAACUAAUGUCACCAAUGCAGUACUCGUCGGUGGAAGAAGCCCUGAAGACUAGAGAUGCUGUUUACAACCUUCAAUGGCCACCAAAUGGUGGGCGUCUUCUUAUAGCUGAGUUUGUUGAUCCUCAAGAAGUAAAAACUCGAGUAGAAGCUCCACAGACUCCUACACCUGCGGUGGUUGCUCCACCAGUCUCUAACGUGCCCCCACCCGUGCAACCCGAGCCUUCGCCUCGUCAACCAAGGCAGCAACAUGCUCCGCCGCCUUCUCUUCCACCACCCCGCCCACACCCACACCCACACCCACACCCACACCCACAAACAACGUUGCUCAAGCAAGGGAGCAGCUACCACUCCCACCUCCACCUGCACUUCCCGAUAAAGUCGACACUCCUAUUGUCACCUUAGACGACCUUUUCAGGAAAACCAAGGCUACUCCUCGCAUUUACUAUUUACCUUUAUCAGACGAACAGGUGCAGAUAAAACAUACAGCAUCAGCAAGGGGAAAAGACAUUAAGCAGUAAGUUGAGACAAUGCCCGUGAUGAUUAAGUGUUGUGUCGUGCCUGCUGCUUGAUGUGCCCCUUGUGGAUUCCUUAGCGAGUUUAGAUUUUGGAAAAUUAAAAAGGCAUGGAGUGGCAUGUUCGAAUGUCUUGAGUGCUUGCAGGGAGGAAUUUAUCUCUGCUGAGCUGAAAAUGAUGGACGGGUUUUGGAAUAGAAUCCAAUGGGUAGGUUUUUUCUUGCAUAUUAAUUAGGAUAUUGAGAUUGACUUCUAAAAGAAGAGGAUUACUUUGUAUUUUGGUUAUGUAAUCAUGUUUUCCUGUGGGUACAAAAAAACCUAUAAUGAGUUAGCUUUGUAGUAUGAUUCAUAUGAUGCCUUCUUCAAAUUUCAUGACACUAACUACUUCGGAUCUGAUUAACCACCGUGCUUUUGACUUUGUUAUAGAUGGACACAUUUCUUCUUGCUUAUUAUUUUCUUUACCUCUAAAAGCUAUGUAUGUAUAUAUGUAUUAUAUAAUAUAAUAUAAGUCUCUUAAUAUGGUACAGUUCAUUUUCGAAUUCAGGAUAUGAAAUAAUGGGUUCAACUUGUACUGAACUGAUUUUUCCCCCUAUUUUGAACUGUAUGUGAGGUGGAGAAAUUGAGAGUUUAUAGGAGUUGGAGUAUGUCCGUUUUGUCUACCGUUGAAAUUAUGAUGCAUCUAAUUGAAAUGGUAGUACUUAAAAAGUGAAGCAAAAUGGUGCGCCUUAUAUGUUCUUUGUAAAAUAAAAGAGUGUACUUUAACUUUAUAGUAUAUUUUAAUUUUGAUUUUUGAACUUUUGAAUUUGUUUAGUUUUGGUAUCCAACAUUUAUAAGCUAUUUCAACUUUCAAGCAAUGUGGGGUGUACUCAAAAAGAAUUUACCCAUGGUUACGAAUAAGUAACCAAUGGGUACUUCAAACUUUUGAUUUAAUCGAAUAAAUGUUUGCAAUCUUAAAUUUAAACUUAAAAAAUGUUGCAAGUUUUAGAUGGGACAGUUUUCAUUUGAAAGGUUGUAAAUUCUUUUUGUAUACAUGCAAUCUAUGACUUAAAAAGUAAAAUCUAAAAUUUUCUGGUCAAGAAGUUAAGUAUUAGUCAAAAAUUAAAUCUAUGGAAAAAUUGAUGAUGCUGUAAUUAGUGAGAGCUCAUAUAUAUUUUUGUAUUGUUUUAUUUUUUUAAAAAAAAUUAGUGAGGAAAUUUCCAAGAAUUUAAUAAAAAAUAGAAACUACACCAUUUAACUAUGUUGAGUGGUUUCACAUCGAAAAUUGUAUCUAUUUAAUUACAUACAAAAUUUGUCAAUGUAAGUUAAAAAACAGAAAAAAGAAAAGAAAAAAAAGGAAAAGGGAAUGGAAAAACUUUAGGGAAGCGGUAUGAAGGGAGUUUACAAGAAUCGGAGAAGCGUUUAUUUCCUUUUUUUCAUUUGUUUGCGCCAAAACGUUCCCCAAAAUUUCUUCCAAUUUUCUAAAACCAUCCCCUUUUUCUUUUCUCUUUUCUCUUCUUCUUCUUCCUCCUCUGCAACUCUGUUUCCUUCAAUUUCACCUGAUUCCUUCUCCGAUUCCGUUUCUUCUUCCCUUUCAACAGAUACCCAAAUACCCAAUUUUCCAUUUCAUUCCAACUCUUGUUUUCCUUUUCCUUUUUUCUUGCAUUUUUCCCCAACCCUCUACUUUCAUCACCUUUUGAUUUCUUCCCGCUUCCUCUUUUCUUGGUUCAAUCCCUUUUUUCUUCCUUCGAUUCUUGGUUUUCUUUUCCAUCUUAAGCUGCCUAUGCUUGAUUCCACCUUUCAGAUCUUUCUCCUUUUGCUUGUUGCGCUUCUAGGGAUUUCUACUGUUCGUUUUGUUAUCGGGUUCUCGCUCUAGUUUGCUGCUGUACUGGAAUGAAUAGUGUGUUCAGUGAGCAAAUACUUGCUGAUAAGCUGUCGAAGCUCAAUAGCACGCAGCAGUGUAUUGAAAGUAUCCUUUUUUAUUUCGUUUUUGUUACCCCAUUUGGGGUUCUUGCCUUUUUUCUUCUUGUUUUUAGUUAGGUAGUGUUCGAAAGCUUCCAAUUGAUGAUUUUUUUUCUUAGUUCGUUUUUGUUUGAGCCUGCCCAUUUUAUCUUCUGUUGUUUCAACUCUCUAGAGCCUAGAGGUUGAUUGAUUACUUUAUACCCUUCAAAGCUUGGAUUGGGAUUUUAUAGAAUUUGGGUAUUACACUUCAAUUGUUGCUUUUUUCUUAAUGGUUUUUGUAAUUAAUCUCUUUGGUAUUGUUGCUUAUUAGAGAGUGUUUGUUAAUUCUGUUACCUUUAGUUGCUUGUGUCAUCAUGUUGAAUUUGUUACAAGAGAUGUUUCUGUCAUUCUUAACUCUUUUCCUAUAGCUUUGUCACAUUGGUGUAUAUUUCAUAGAGGCAAGGCUGAAUUGGUUGUUGCAACAUGGGAUAAGCAGUUCCACAAUUCUGAAAUGGUUCAGAAAGUUCCUCUUUUGUAUCUUGCUAAUGAUAUCUUACAAAAUAGUAAGCGUAAGGGAAAUGAAUUUGUUACUGAGUUCUGGAAGGUUCUUCCAUCAGCACUUAAGGAUGUCCUUGAGAAUGGUGACAGCCAUGGAAAGAAUGUAAUUUCUAGAUUGGUAAGUUUGAGUUAUUUGCUUUUCCUCUUCUCGGACGAGUGGUCUAACUCUCUUGCACGUUUUAAGAUUUUCCAACUAAAUGUGUUGGUGAAUACUGAUAAAAAUUGAAGAUGCAAUUAAUGGAAUUUAUCAGGGCAGCUACUCCCUUUUAUUGAGUAUUGGAGAUUGUUGUCAUGUACUUGUGUCUACUUUAAAUGAACAAAUUGCGGAUUCGUUGAGCAUGAAAAUUUUUCAGAAAGUACUUCUAGGAUCUUAUUUUAAGGCCUUUAUUUUGCCUUUUUUUCCUUCCUUUGAACUUGUUAAUCAAAUUUUUCUUGCACCUUCUUAGGUGGAUAUAUGGGAACAAAGGAAGGUAUUUGGAUCCCGGACUCGAAGCCUCAAAGAUGUAAUACUUGGGGAAGAGGCACCUCCACCUCUAGAGUUUAGCAAAAAACGUACUCGAUCAGUCAGAAUUGUCAAAAGAGAUUCACGGUCAAUUAGAACGGUGAGCGACUAUUUUAUCUUAAGCUUUUUUUCCAAUUUUCUUUUGGUGGCACCAGAAGUUAUGCAAGACCCUGUCUUGAUUUUCCAUGACUGUUUCCAUUUAGUUUUCUUAUUAUCAAUAUUAUAUAUAUUUGUUUUACUUCCAAUGAUUUCGUUGUUGAGUUGACAUUAUUCCUUAAUUUGGUACGCAGAAAUUGUCUAUUGGAAGUGCAGCUGAAAAAAUAGUAUCAGCAUUCCACUUGGUCCUUAGUGAAUAUUCUAAUGAAGAAACUGAGAUGACCAACUGUAAUUCUGCGGUUCAACGUGUAAGGAAGAUGGAAAAUGACGUUGAUUUUGCUUGUUCCAUGGGUAUGACAACAAUUAUUUAAUGUUGUCUACAUUGUCUCAAUGUUCUCUCAUUAUGCAUCUAAUUUGUUUUGAAAGAUUUGUACUCUUAGUUGAAAUUUUUUAUUAUGCCAUCUUUCAAUUGUCAAAUUAUACAGUCUCUGAGUUUCUAUGAUUAUCCACCAGCAAAAAAUCCUCAGCGUAAAAAGUUAGCCAAAGAACUGGAAGAGGAAGAAAGUGUUUUGAAAACAGUGUAUUGAGAAAUUGCAAUCGGUUGAAGCCAGUCGCCUGGCACUUAUCACUCAGUUAAAAGAAGCUUUGCAUGUUCAGGUAUCUUGAUCAAUCCUUUCUCAAUUUCCUUAGAAGUUUGAACAAUUUUGAUUUCUGUAUUACAUUAUGUUAUUAUGAAGUACUUACAAUUGACAAAUUUGGGAAACUGACUAUUAACUGUAGGAAUCGGAGCUGGAGAAUAUUCGAACCCAGAUGCAGGUAUUUUCUUGAGUGAAAUAGACUUGUUUUGCUUGUGCUUGUAUUUGACAUUUAUUUGAACUUCAACAUGAGUAUUUUUAGUUUUAUAAUAUGAAAGUGAGGGACUGGCUUGUUAUAUGGAGGAAAAAUGAAGCUUUACCGUGGACACCUAUAAUUUAAUUCAUGUGAAUUUGAUGGGUGCUGAUGAUUGAGUUUUUUUGUUGCCAUUACUCAUUUUGUUUUGAACUUCAAAAACUACAGGUGGCUCAGGCUCAAGCAGAAGAGGCUAAAAAUAUGCAAAACCGGCUAAAUGAUGAAGGUUAUGUAUCGAAAACUUCCAUCAUUGAUUCAAAUGCAAAAGCAGGACAGACUCCUAAGAAGUCGGCUGCAGCCAUUGCAGCAGAGGUUGCGGACAAGCUUGCAGCUUCUAGUUCCUCACAAAUGAUCAUGACAUCGGUUCUCUCCACAUUUGCGGCUGAGGAGGCAAAGCAUACUAAUCUAACAAAGACUAAUAAUGGAUUGAAUGCAUUUGCAUCAAAGCCCAUGCGUUCCUCUGCUAAUUCUAUCACAAAACCUGAAGCGUCAGCCGUUGGUUCAGAUCCUAAUGUUUUCAUGUCUAUGCAGCCCCUUGCUGCUCCCGCUAACCAUUCAUACCAAUCAGUUAUGGUGCCCCAACCAACAAUGCAGAGCCAAGCCUCGAAUUCACAGACUCAGUAUCAGAUGCUUCCAAGUGCACCUUCUCAGCAAUAUUUGCAGCUCUCAAAUGGAGUCUUAACCCCAUAUGGUUAUGGUAGUCUUCCAAGCUCAACUCCGGUACCACCACCACCAAUGCCCCACAUGGUUAGUCCAGUGGUGCCCUUGACCCAGCAGAUGCUGCAACAGACAAUACCCUUGGCUCAACAACCAUCACCUAUGAUUACAAACACAACCGGUCCCUUUCACGCAGCAACCUCUGGCACCUAGUUUUAGACCGCUUCAGCCGCCAGGGAUGGUGUAUUAUGGUCAUCCUCCCCCUUCUCAGUGAAUGUUUUGUGCUAAAGGUAUCUUCUCUUUUGGACCGAACCUAUUGAUUAGUGAUUGUCAUUAAAUUUUGUUCAUGUACCUUGGGAUAAUGGAAUUUGAUUUGAAGACAGAUAGUGGUAAUGGGCUUCUACAAUUGGGCUUAAUUUAUAAAGUAUCGAACCAAGCUUUUUGGUUCUGAAACAUUAGGGACCUUCAUAAUCAUUAUUUACUUCAAGGGGCAGACCAUUAGAACAUUUGUGACAUUAGACAUAUUAAAAGUCUUUUAUGUUUCAGUUUGAUUUGAGGAAGUUUUGUGUAGAUUUAUUAUUCCAAGCAUUGACUUAUUGUACAUUACUUCAUCCUUUGGAUGUCAGGUCAAGUUUUAGACAGUGCCACGCUCGUCGUGUAACGUUGAUCUCUAAACGAAUGAGCCUGUGAACGAAGCAAGAGCUAAAUCAUAUCGAGCUGUGGUGGUAAGGACUUGUGAUUUUUAGUGCAUAUUUUGAGAUAAUUAAAUUUAUAUCAUUGUCUUUCUCCCUCUGCCCUACUUUGUGGGGAGGAUACAUAAAAUAUGGAAAUGUAACUGGUAUAUAUAGGGCUCUACACUUUUGGGAGAGAUCACUCAGCCCUAUGAUUUCUUAAAUAUAGGUUCCAUAUGGUUCAAUUCAAUUUUAUGAGUUCAAAGUGACGACGACCAUUGUACCCAUAAAAGAAAGAGCAGAUGACAGACAGAUGGACGACGAGAAGGUAUCCCGCACAAAUGUCUAUGUUCUUCAUUGUUGAAGCUGUGAAAGUGCUAGCAAAUGGCUAUAGUGGGGGAAAUUACAUAAGAUAGUGGCUGGCUUCAUGGAAAUUUUAUAAGGAAGUUUCUUUAGAAAUCAAUAAGAUACGAAUAUGCUUAUUGGGACAGCUUGGGAAUGAAAAUUCAAAGGCACAAAACAGACUUUGCGAGCUUAGCUUCGUGAAGCUAUGGUGAAAACGGUGCCAAGCAGCUCGAAAACGAUAAAAGGACAAUGAAUUAACAUAGAACAUGGUUGAUUUUAACCUACAGUUAUCAAAGUAGUUUAACUAAUCACAAGUAAUAGCUUAAAGUUUUGCUAAAAAAAAAAAUUUCAAUGAUUAUAUUAAUUUUUAAAGGGAAAAAAUGGAUAAGUACUCAUUAAGUUUCCAUUUUUGAUAUUUUGUUCUUUUCUUGAUGAAAGAAAAUGUUCGCCUAUUUUUUUCUAUUUUUUUUAAUAAUUAAAAUACUGUCCUUAACUUUUGCUCUAAUUUUUUGUUAUGGUAAAUUUAAUAGAAUCUUUGUUUUAAAAAUGAAGAGAAUAUGUUUGGAUGGAAUUAUUUUUUAUCUAUGAAAGAUUUUGAUAGGGAUGGAUAGAUAUACAUACUUUCUAUUAUUGUCUAUUGGUGUAGAUAGAAUUUGAAAUAUUGCUGUAUUUACUAAUGAAUUAUAAAACAUAACUACAAUCAACUUACUUUUUUUGUAAUGAUUUUUGGUUUAUUUAUAUUCUAUUCUAUUUUAGUCAAUUCAAAAUUACUUUUUUAUCUCUAAAAAUCGCACUAAAAUACCUUGUGAGAUUAAUUUCACGAUUUAGUCACAACCAAUAAUAGAGGGAUUAAAGUGAUUAACUUUUUUUUCAAAGAAGGGACUAAAGUGAUUAAAAUUAUGAAAAGAAUGACAUAAUUUUAAAUUUAUUUUAGUUUCAUAAAUCACAACCAAACCAACCAAAGAUAAACCAAGGGGAUAAUGAAUACUCCUAAGGUUAAUAUGAUAAGUGUUGCAUUUUACAAAUAGGAACCAUGAAUGAACCACUACGUUAUAUUGAACAAAAACAUUAAUAAAACUUUGACAAAACUUUUAAUUUAUUUAACCUAGAGAGUUUGAGUAACGAAUUAGUUAUUCUCAAUUUUAUAAACUUACAUUACGUUUUGAUACAACUAAACAUCCAAUCAAAACCCGACUAUUUACUUAAUUUAAACCACUACCCAACAGACAAUACCUUUGUAUUGAUUGAGUAGAGAAGACAUCAAUUACUACUUUGAAUGUUUACUAUUUCUUUUUUCAUCCAUUCACCUCCGUAAUUAUUGGGAACAAAAAAUUUUACAAUUCUUUAUAUUUCACUCUUUGGUACGUGUAUUUGAGCAAAUAAAGUAAAUCAGUUAAAAGUACGAAGAAUUGAAAACUCUCCAUCCUCUAAAACUCUGUGCAAACACAAAGUGACAAGUGAUUUCAAAAGCCAAUAGUUGUUUAAAUACUAAUCCUUAAUAACUUUAAUAACCAUUAUAAGUAAGGAUUAAUUAUUUAAGUAUAUCUCUGUCACAUUAUAGUAAAAUAGACCCCCACUACUAUUAAUGUGCACACCUUUCAUAUUUUAUAUAGACUUAGAAAGCUAACAUUAUUGAUGAACAAUAAUUAAUUUCCGAUACAUCAAGGAGAUUAUAACUAAAUACUGUUUCUAGUUUUUUGCAUUUUUUUUCUUGUUGUUAUAUCAAAUACCUGGCUAAUUUCCACAUAAAAUUAAAGAAAAUACUUUUCUAUAAUUAUACAUUAUUCAUAUGAAUCAAAUAAUUUGAAUCAUACUCUCAACCUUCUUCACUUCCAUAAUCUUUCCCAACUCAAAGCAUUAGAGUGUAAGUGUGUGUGACGAAUAUUAUAUAAUGGUCGAUUUGUAAAUUUUUUCCUUCGUAGAUCACUUUUAAUUUCUCUCCAUCAAAUAAAUUCAUUGUGAGGGUUGAAUGAAAGUUAGGUACAUUUAAUUUCUUGUUCAAAGUUUAACAUCAGCUUUAUCGAACACACAUUAAUAAGAAAACGAUUGAAUGAACUCAAUCAUUUUUAAAGAAAAAAAUUAGAACCCUAGUGAUUGAGAUGUGUUAUUAUUUAAGAUGAAUUGUGGGGGUGGAGGGACCUCACACAACACAAUUCAAAAACAAAAAGGAGAGCCACGCUGGUAGCUUUUUCUGAUUUGGUGAGUGCAUGCCCUCAAAUUGUUCUAAAAUAAAAUUAUAUGAAUGAUAAUGAUAAUAUAUAAGAACAAUAGUGUACAUAUUAUUAUAGACAUAUAUAGCUUCUCAAUAUUGGUCUUGGUGGGUGUUGAAUAUUAAUAUAAAAUUAAAUAACAACAAUAAUGAUAAAGAGAAUAAUGGGUUAUGAAACUCAUCUGUCAACCACAAAUCUUUAAUUUGAGACAAGUUGUAGGGUUAUUAUGGAGCAAUGUGUCAAAUACAAAGGACUAUUAUUAAUUUUGAAAUAUGAAUAUCAUUUAACAAUUGAGCAAUUGGGGAAUUAUGUGUCACACUCUGUUGCUGCCGAAAGUUAGCUUUAUUUUUCAUUCAUAUAUUAAGACACAUUGGUGGGGUCUUCCUGCUAUGUUUUCUUCUCCUUAUAACAAGACAUAACAUAACACCAUUUUUCAAUUCCCACACUACAUUAAUCAAUCAUUUAUCAAUAUAUAAAAACAAUUGUCACAAAUAUAACAAUAACAUGUAUAAGAAUUUUUUGUUUUUUCUUUUGUUGAAAAUAUAACCAAAUUUAUGCUCAACAGCCAUAGUAAAAUUUAUCACUUAUAUAAAUAGUCUCUAUUUGGUAUAGUCUUUUAGAGACAAAUCUUGCUAUAUUUAUCAUUUUAAAAAAAUGUUUUAAUAUACUUAAUUGUUAGUCUUAGAAAUACUAUUCAUUACUCUAAUUGAUGAGUGAAAAUGUUCAUCUACUAGCUAGAUUUGAUUGGUUGAAAUAUACAUGGAAGGAAUAAUUUUGAAUCUAGAUUCAUUCGAGGAGAAUAUUAUAUGAAAAAUAUCUAUUCAAAUAGAAAAAUCAUCCUAAAGCAGAUUCCAAGGUAAGCAUUAGCACACAUGUGUUCUCCUUUUUAUGAAUGUCAUGUGUGACAAAAAGGGGUACAUUAACAACGUUAAAUUACCAACAAUAAUUAGUAUUAAUGGUGGUUAAAAGAUAGUGAGCCUUAGUCAUUUUAAAAAUAAAAGACUAAAUUGAUUCAAAUACGAACUAAAUUAGUAUAUAAAUUUAGAAUAAAUUAUAUAUAAAAUGAGUAAUGAAGUAGGAAAAUUUUAAUUAUGUUUUGUUAUAAAUACUGUGAUAAAUUGCUUAACUUAUCAAUAGAGAUUAAGAAGAUUGAUUAAAAUAAUAAUAAUCCACGUUAUAAAACCUAGGGCACCAAUAGUAAUGAUCCUCACCACAAACCCAAUAAAUUAAUCAAAUAUAUCACUAAUGCAAGAGUAGAUUUAUUGAUAAUAAUCCACUUUUUGAAAAUUAAUUUCAAAUUUCCUUGUUAUCUCAGUUUCGUUAAGGUUUUAAAAGUACUUUAAAAAUGUAGAAAAGAAAGGUGUGUAAGCAAAAGGCAAACCACAUUAGUUUUAAAGAAUAAUUAAAACCCAAGACUCCAUUUUAGUUGUUAUUUGAGUUUAUUUUUCUUUUUUUAAUUUGAGAAAAUUGUACUUUUCUUAAAUAAAAAAAUAACUUUCUUCCUGUUUCAUAAAAAAACAUUUAAAUUUAUCAAAUUCUAGAAGUAAAAAACAUGUGUUCUUAAAAUCCAACUUCUCUAAUUUGUUUUCUAAAUUUAGUUUCGAUUUAUGGGAAUUAUGCAGAUAACUCAAACUUAAAUUUAGUGCAGAUUCUUAAAAAUGGAUUGCAAGAAAAACAAAUUAUAUCACUACACAAAUUAAAUGAAAGAUGUUGAUGUGAAAACUUGAACAACAAAAUAUGUUUUCCCUAAUAACAAUAGUGAAGUGAAUUUGUUUGAAGGGGAGUAGAACAUAUUUUGCAAAGAGAAAAAUUCUAUAGACUAAUAUGAUACUUUGUGAUACACACUCCAAUGCUUAAAUUUAUAAAUAGUUUAAGGGCAGGAAUCAAGUUAUCCAAUAUAAAGUUAUAAUGAUAUAUUUAUAAAAGAGGUUGACCUAGGUUUUCUUCUAUUAUUCAUUUAAUUUUCAAAAUAUAUAUCAAAGGAAUCGCCGAUGAACUGAUGGUGAUAAAUACUUUUUGGUUGUCACAAAUUUGGGCUAGCCUUUACUAAUUGGUUGUUGGAUAAUAUGGACUUUUUUGGUCAAUCCUAGCGGUAGCUAUGACAACCAAAACGUCCUUAUUACCCGUUAGAUCAUCAUCGAUGAUGCUUGAGAGCACUACUAGGAUAGGCAAAAAAAAGUCCAUAUUACACAACAACCAAUUAGUAGAAGCCAACUCAGGCUGUGACAAAACCAAAAAGUCCUUAUUACCCAUCAGAUUAUCGAAGUAGCCUUAAAGCAGUUAUCUGAUAACAUGAUCGAAUCCUAGGUAAAAUACUUAAGUUCGGGGGUAUGUUGGACAUAUCAUCGUAUAUUAAAGUUAUCGGAUGGUGUUGUUGACGACUUAUUAGGAGGUGGAAGUUGAACUUUUCGACCCAACUCAAAGGAUCAUUGGACCAACUAAGCUAGGCUACUUAACCCUUGGAGCUUAGGUUGAUGUUCGUGGGAUAGUUAAGGUCAAAGGUCUAACUUUCCACUUCUGAGCCUUGUUGAUUACAUUUAUCCUUUUGACCUAGAAUCUAUACAUAGAAAAGUGAACCUCUCUAACUAUAUUAUCUCUAGUAUUACACUGAAACCAAUUGCUGUAAAUGUUGGCUUUUAAAUCAAAAUUUAAUUAAUUUCAGUCAAUAAAAAAAAAAAGAAGAAAUAAAGUAGAUCCAAAUUGGAUAUAAUUAAUUUGACUUUGUUCUAAAGAGUUAUAAAUUAAUUGGUUUUAGUGGGUGGCACUAUGGAUAGUAGUCCACUUUUAAAAGUCAACUAUGAAGAAAGUUUUUCCAAUCCAAAUAAACUUGCAAUUCCAUUAUUAUUAUUAUUGGAAGCCAUCAUUAAAACUUGAGAACAUUUCACAUGUUUGGCCUCUCUCAUAGACUUGCUAUCAAUAUAAAAAGAUAAUCCAAAAUAAUUUGUGAGCUCAUGUCUCUAUCAUACCUCCCUCUAAUGAGGAUGAUAUGAAUCUCCUUUCUUAUGAAAUCAAUAUUGAAAAUGAUAGGUCCAAACCCUCACAUAUCCUCUAUUCACAUGUUUUAGUUACAACUUACUUCAUCUUCAUUUUCAAAUGUUAAUGUAACAGGUUACAAAUUACAAAUGUAUAUAGUUAUUUUAUUUCUUCACAUCUCUACAUAAAAUAAUUAAUUGUUUUGAAUUUUUUCUUCACUUUGUUCAUUUUGAGAUGAAUAGAUAUAGUUGUGAGAUGUAUAUUGUCCAAAUACUUUUCUAUAGCUAUCAUGACGUCAAAGGAGAAAAUUACUAUAUAUAUAUGUAUAAUAAAAACUAAAGUGUUAUACUUUACCUUAUAAAGCAUUAAGACACAAUUACAUCCUUAAUUAAUUAACAGCAAAACAUUGGAAAAGUACAGACUAGAGAACAUGAAAAGAGUAGAUCAGACCAAAAGACACACUUAUACUAUUCUUCUUUCUUCUUCCUCUUCUUUUUCUUUUGGCCUUUGGACAGACAUUUUUAAACACAUUUACACAAACAAAAGCUUUUCGAUUUUAUAGACACUAAAAGAAGGAAAACAGGUCAUGAUCAAGAAGGGCCGGAAGCAUAAAGUCAAAUAUAUAACUUGAUCAUGUUCUAUUUUUGUAGCUGUCGACUGUGGUCGUCGGAGCAAUGCUUCCCGGGUGAACUUUUUUAUUCCUUGCAAGCAAAGAACCACCACUAGAGGAACCCGUGGCGGUGGCGGUCUCUCCUCGGGAGAAUCGAUUUGGUUCCAUUCUCUCAAGUUUCUCCUUUUGUUGCUUCUGUAGGAGGUGGAUUUUGGCAUAGGAAGCUCCAAGGGAUGACAUGAUUUUGAGAAUAUAGAGAAAGAAGGAGGCCUAUAAAGAAGAUCGAGGAAGAAGGAAGAAGGAAGAAGGAAGAAGGAAGAAGGAAGAAGAUAUUGGAAUUAUUAUUUUGGGUUUUUCUUGUUGUUGGAAGUUAGUUUUUGUUUUGGUGU
Molecule: long non-coding RNA, 42891 nt
Filed under: Cucumis sativus (cucumber)
Lineage: Eukaryota; Viridiplantae; Streptophyta; Magnoliopsida; Cucurbitales; Cucurbitaceae
Description: long non-coding RNA (CSAT_LNC001400)
Source: RNAcentral